Molecule: long non-coding RNA, 218 nt
Filed under: Manihot esculenta (cassava)
Lineage: Eukaryota; Viridiplantae; Streptophyta; Magnoliopsida; Malpighiales; Euphorbiaceae
Description: long non-coding RNA (MESC_LNC012425)
Source: RNAcentral
GAGAAAGACCGGUUGACCCAUUCUACGUCCCGGCACCUUGGAAAUGUUAUGUUAUGAUAUGUUUAAGAGAAAGACCGGUUGACCCAUUCUACGUCCCGGCACUUUGGAAUGUAGAGGACUAUUGGUGACAAUACCAUCCGUGAUGUGAUUUGUCUGUGAUGUGUUGCAUUCCAUUAUGGCAUAUGAUUUAAAUGUUUUUAUUAUUCUACUCACUGGGC